GUCAGGAUGGCCGAGUGG
RNAcentral lists this non-coding RNA (18 nucleotides) under Arabidopsis thaliana (thale cress). The record is from RNAcentral. RNAcentral also lists the same sequence under 1 other name. Lineage: Eukaryota; Viridiplantae; Streptophyta; Magnoliopsida; Brassicales; Brassicaceae.